CUGGUACCCAAUGUAGAUUUCUUAAAAUUGGGGUGAUCCGUGUGAAUUUAGAACAACCACAGAUCAGCCUUGCACAAACAUUUGUGAUGUGCUCUCUCAUAUUCAAAUUCGAAUCGAACUGUACUCCAAGAUUUCUUGCACUAACAGAUGGUUCUAUUACAGAGUCUCCAAUUGAUACACUGUUUAAGUUGAUUUUGGAUGUCUGUUUAGGUGUGCCAAUGAUCAUUAAUUCAGUUUUACCAUCAUUAAGCAUGAGCCUAUUUUGCAACAUCCAUCCACGUACAUAGUCAACACAUGUUUCUAGGAGUGAGACACAUCGCUCUUUAGCAUGUUCAUCAGGUCUGAAUGAUACAUACAGCUGUGUGUCAUCUGCAUAGCAGUGGCAUGAUAUCUCGGGGAAAUUUGUUCGAACAUUUGAAAUGAGAUUAGCAGUGUACAGAGUAAAUAACAAAGGACCCAGCCGAGAACCUUGUGGAACUCCGAAAGGCACUGGCAAAUCAUCAGAGAUCACAUCGUCUAUUUUGACCUUCUGAUAUCUAUUCGCCAAAUACGA
This is a long non-coding RNA of Strongylocentrotus purpuratus (purple sea urchin), 553 nucleotides long. RefSeq lists it as uncharacterized. The record is from RefSeq and is a predicted model, not a curated record. NCBI's taxonomy places the organism in Eukaryota, Metazoa, Echinodermata, Echinoidea, Camarodonta, Strongylocentrotidae. The transcript is spliced from 2 exons.